CAGAGGGUGCGAACGUUGCUCGGAAUUACUGGGCGUAAAGCGCGUGUAGGCGGGUCGGCAAGUCAGGCGUGAAAUCCCCAGGCUCAACCUGGGAACUGCGCUUGAAACUGCCGGUCUUGAGUAUCGGAGAGGGUGGCGGAAUUCCUGGUGUAGAGGUGAAAUUCGUAGAUAUCAGGAGGAACACCGGUGGCGAAGGCGGCCACCUGGACGAUUACUGACGCUGAGACGCGAAAGCGUGGGGAGCAAACAGGAUUAGAUACCCUGGUAGUCCACACCGUAAACGAUGGGUGCUAGGUGUCUCGGGUAUUGACCCCUGAGGUGCCGUAGCUAACGCGUUAAGCACCCCGCCUGGGAAGUACGGCCGCAAGGCUA
This 372-nucleotide ribosomal RNA is filed under the name uncultured organism. RNAcentral's name for it is "bacterial SSU rRNA". It matches the Rfam family "Bacterial small subunit ribosomal RNA", at positions 526 to 896 of the family's 1533-position model. The record is from RNAcentral.